GAUGAACGCUGGCGGCGUGCCUAAUACAUGCAAGUCGAGCGAACGGACGAGAAGCUUGCUUCUCUGAUGUUAGCGGCGGACGGGUGAGUAACACGUGGAUAACCUACCUAUAAGACUGGGAUAACUUCGGGAAACCGGAGCUAAUACCGGAUGAUAUUUUGAACCGCAUGGUUCAAAAGUGAAAGACGGUCUUGCUGUCACUUAUAGAUGGAUCCGCGCUGCAUUAGCUAGUUGGUAAGGUAACGGCUUACCAAGGCAGCGAUGCAUAGCCGACCUGAGAGGGUGAUCGGCCACACUGGAACUGAGACACGGUCCAGACUCCUACGGGAGGCAGCAGUAGGGAAUCUUCCGCAAUGGGCGAAAGCCUGACGGAGCAACGCCGCGUGAGUGAUGAAGGUCUUCGGAUCGUAAAACUCUGUUAUUAGGGAAGAGCAUAUGUGUAAGUAACUGUGCACAUCUUGACGGUACCUAAUCAGAAAGCCACGGCUAACUACGUG
This 497-nucleotide ribosomal RNA is filed under the name uncultured bacterium. Its description in RNAcentral is "partial 16S ribosomal RNA". It matches the Rfam family "Bacterial small subunit ribosomal RNA", at positions 28 to 507 of the family's 1533-position model. The record is from RNAcentral.